UUGGGAUUGGCUGGCUGAUUAGAUCCACUAUGGCUCAUGUUCCUGUGUUGGUGUCAUUUUAUCCCCUCAGAUAUGAUCCUUGAAAGCUCCCUGCAGCCAACUACAGAGAGGAUUUGGAGACUUACAGUGAAAUGACUGACACUAGGUCAACCGCCAAGAGCUGUGAGUGGGCUAGGGCGUGAAGGAGGUGAUGUGGAGACAAUGGAGCUGCUAACCCUGUGGUCAACGGUGGAUCCAACUGAUUCACUCACCUCGGCCCACUUCUGCUUUUGGGAUCAUGGUGUACCAGGAAGCUGAGCCAGGAUAUCUAUAUAUCCUGCAGAGAGAUCAGACUUCCUUGGGACCAGACUGGAUCUGGAGCGUGGACCGGAGUCUUGCAUCCCCCCAACACCUGGAUUUAGAGGUCAUGCCAUCUCCCAGGUGACCUUCUGGACACGGGCAGGAGGAGCAAGGGAGAAUGCCAUGCCCACCCUGCCAAGAGAGACCCUCAGUCAAUCUGACCUGACCCACAGGACCAGUGGAG
RNAcentral lists this long non-coding RNA (523 nucleotides) under Ornithorhynchus anatinus (platypus). Its description in RNAcentral is "lncRNA (ENSOANG00000049522.1)". Lineage: Eukaryota; Metazoa; Chordata; Mammalia; Monotremata; Ornithorhynchidae. The record is from RNAcentral.